CCCUGUACAGGGGUUUACAUUCUGGAAGUGAACUUUUCGCUUAAGGAAAAUUCUUUGUUGGACAACCUCUUAAAAAAUUGGUGUAAGAUUAUAGGGGUUGGGCAAAUUCUUGUGUUCAACCGCCGCGGUUAUACCAAGCACCCGCCGAUUGGUCAGGGACAGAUUAUUGGGCCCUAAAGCAUCCGUACCGGUUUUACAAGUCCUCCCGUUCAAAUCCAAACUGCUUAACAGAUGGGCCGCGGAGGAUACUAUAAGACUAGGAGGCAGGAGAGGCAAGCGGUACUCAGUGGGUAGGGGUAAAAUCCGUUGAUCCACUUGAAGACCACACAGUGGCGAAGGCGGCUUGCCAGAAUGCGCUCGACGGUGAGGGAUGAAAGCUGGGGGAGCAAACCGGAUUAGAUACCCGGGUAGUCCCAGCUGUAAACGAUGCAGACUCGGUGAUGGACUAGCUUAAUGCUAGUCCAGUGCCGCAGGGAAGCCGUUAAGUCUGCCGCCUGGGUAGUACGUCGCAAGACUGAAACUUAAAGGAAUUGGCGGGGGAGCAC
This 545-nucleotide ribosomal RNA is filed under the name uncultured crenarchaeote. Its description in RNAcentral is "bacterial SSU rRNA". It matches the Rfam family "Archaeal small subunit ribosomal RNA", at positions 357 to 879 of the family's 1478-position model. The record is from RNAcentral. Lineage: Archaea; Thermoproteati; Thermoproteota.